CAACCCAUGUGAACAUACCUACUGUUGCUUCGGCGGGAUUGCCCCGGGCGCCUCGUGUGCCCCGGAUCAGGCGCCCGCCUAGGAAACUCAACUCUUGUUUUAUUUUGGAAUCUUCUGAGUAGUUUUUACAAAUAAAUAAAAACUUUCAACAACGGAUCUCUUGGUUCUGGCAUCGAUGAAGAACGCAGCGAAAUGCGAUAAGUAAUGUGAAUUGCAGAAUUCAGUGAAUCAUCGAAUCUUUGAACGCACAUUGCGCCCGCCAGUAUUCUGGCGGGCAUGCCUGUCUGAGCGUCAUUUCAACCCUCAUGCCCCUAGGGCGUGGUGUUGGGGAUCGGCCAAAGCCCGCGAGGGACGGCCGGCCCCUAAAUCUAGUGGCGGACCCGUCGUGGCCUCCUCUGCGAAGUAGUGAUAUUCCGCAUCGGAGAGCGACGAGCCCCUGCCGUUAAACCCCCAACUUUCCAAGGUUGACCUCAGAUCAGGUAGGAAUACCCGCUGAACUUAAGCAUAUCAAUAAGCGGAGGA
This 522-nucleotide ribosomal RNA is filed under the name Clonostachys rosea. RNAcentral describes it as "eukaryotic LSU rRNA". The stretch from base 141 to 294 matches the Rfam family "5.8S ribosomal RNA". The record is from RNAcentral. Lineage: Eukaryota; Fungi; Ascomycota; Sordariomycetes; Hypocreales; Bionectriaceae.